AACGAACGCUGGCGGCAUGCCUAACACAUGCAAGUCGAACGAGACCUUCGGGUCUAGUGGCGCGCGGGUGCGUAACGCGUGAGAACCUGCCCUUAGGUUCGGAAUAACUCCCCGAAAGGGGUGCUAAUACCGGAUAAUGUCUUCGGACCAAAGAUUUAUCGCCUUUGGAUGGGCCCGCGUUGGAUUAGCUAGUUGGUAGGGUAAAAGCCUACCAAGGCGACGAUCCAUAGCUGGUCUGAGAGGAUGAUCAGCCACACUGGGACUGAGACACGGCCCAGACUCCUACGGGAGGCAGCAGUGGGGAAUAUUGGACAAUGGGCGAAAGCCUGAUCCAGCAAUGCCGCGUGAGUGAUGAAGGCCUUAGGGUUGUAAAGCUCUUUUACCCGGGAUGAUAAUGACAGUACCGGGAGAAUAAGCUCCGGCUAACUCCGUG
RNAcentral lists this ribosomal RNA (433 nucleotides) under uncultured bacterium. Its description in RNAcentral is "partial 16S ribosomal RNA". It matches the Rfam family "Bacterial small subunit ribosomal RNA", at positions 29 to 507 of the family's 1533-position model. The record is from RNAcentral.